This 434-nucleotide ribosomal RNA is filed under the name uncultured bacterium. RNAcentral's name for it is "partial 16S ribosomal RNA". It matches the Rfam family "Bacterial small subunit ribosomal RNA", at positions 29 to 507 of the family's 1533-position model. The record is from RNAcentral.
AGCGAACGCUGGCGGCAGGCCUAACACAUGCAAGUCGAACGAACCUUUCGGGGUUAGUGGCGGACGGGUGAGUAACACGUGGGAACGUGCCUUUAGGUUCGGAAUAACUCAGGGAAACUUGUGCUAAUACCGAAUGUGCCCUUCGGGGGAAAGAUUAAUCGCCUUUAGAGCGGCCCGCGUCUGAUUAGCUAGUUGGUUGAGGUAAUGGCUCACCAAGGCGACGAUCAGUAGCUGGUCUGAGAGGAUGAUCAGCCACAUUGGGACUGAGACACGGCCCCAACUCCUACGGGAGGCAGCAGUGGGGAAUCUUGCGCAAUGGGCGAAAGCCUGACGCAGCCAUGCCGCGUGAAUGAUGAAGGUCUUAGGAUUGUAAAAUUCUUUCACCGGGGACGAUAAUGACGGUACCCGGAGAAGAAGCCCCGGCUAACUUCGUG